This is a non-coding RNA of Paramuricea clavata, 324 nucleotides long. NCBI's taxonomy places the organism in Eukaryota, Metazoa, Cnidaria, Anthozoa, Malacalcyonacea, Plexauridae. The record is from the annotation of a GenBank genome assembly.
CCAUAUAAACUUUAUUAGGGAUUGUAUUGAUUUGCCAAAUGCCAUAUAUAUUCAAAUAUAUAAACCAGUGAUUGGAGUGAAUUGCUCAGGUUUCAUUGUGUGGCGUCGGGUGACAUCAUUUUUCACGUAAUUAUCCUUCAGUACAGUUCUUUAUAAAUAACGGAAGAUUUUUUCUUCAAAAUGAUUUCCAAAUUUGGUUUUAAAACAGUUUAAAACGCGUUAAAUAUAUAAUGUAAAUCUAUAAACGUUUUCCCUCGUGUUUUGGCAGCUUGAAUCUAUUCUGUGCUUGAAUGCUUGAUGUCAAUGCUUCCACUCGCUCAAAAC